GAUGAACGCUGGCGGCGUGCCUAAUACAUGCCAGUCGAGCGAACAGACGAGGAGCUUGCUCCUCUGACGUUAGCGGCGGACGGGUGAGUAACACGUGGAUAACCUACCUAUAAGACUGGGAUAACUUCGGGAAACCGGAGCUAUUACCGGAUAAUAUAUUGAACCGCAUGGUUCAAUAGUGAAAGACGGUUUUGCUGUCACUUAUAGAUGGAUCCGCGCCGCAUUAGCUAGUUGGUAAGGUAACGGCUUACCAAGGCAACGAUGCGUAGCCGACCUGAGAGGGUGAUCGGCCACACUGGAACUGAGACACGGUCCAGACUCCUACGGGAGGCAGCAGUAGGGAAUCUUCCGCAAUGGGCGAAAGCUUGACGGAGCAACGCCGCGUGAGUGAUGAAGGUCUUCGGAUCGUAAAACUCUGUUAUUAGGGAAGAACAAAUGUGUAAGUAACUAUGCACGUCUUGACGGUACCUAAUCAGAAAGCCACGGCUAACUACGUG
RNAcentral lists this ribosomal RNA (497 nucleotides) under uncultured bacterium. Its description in RNAcentral is "partial 16S ribosomal RNA". It matches the Rfam family "Bacterial small subunit ribosomal RNA", at positions 28 to 507 of the family's 1533-position model. The record is from RNAcentral.